This 321-nucleotide unclassified non-coding RNA is filed under the name uncultured fungus. Its description in RNAcentral is "partial contains small subunit ribosomal RNA, internal transcribed spacer 1, and 5.8S ribosomal RNA". The stretch from base 1 to 73 matches the Rfam family "Eukaryotic small subunit ribosomal RNA", at positions 1759 to 1831 of the family's 1831-position model. The record is from RNAcentral. Lineage: Eukaryota; Fungi.
GCAAACUUGGUCAUUUAGAGGAAGUAAAAGUCGUAACAAGGUCUCCGUUGGUGAACCAGCGGAGGGAUCAUUACAGAGUUAUGACGCUCCCAACCCUUUGUGAACUUACCGUUGUUGCCUCGGCGCAUAACCUGGAGUCACCUACCCUGGAGCCAUCUACCCUGUAGAUGUCUACCCUGGAGCUACCCGGUAGACUGCCAGCCGCGCCAAAGGACCGCCAAAACUCUUGUUUUAUUUACCGUGUAUCUCUGAGUGAUAUCAAAAUUCGUUAAAACUUUCAACAACGGAUCUCUUGGUUCUGGCAUCGAUGAAGAACGCAGC